UCAAGUCGUGGGGCAGCAUGGGGUAGCAAUACUCUGAUGGCGACCGGCAAACGGGUGCGGAACACGUACGCAACCUUCCCAAAACUGGUGAAUAGCCCUCCGAAAGGAGGAUUAAUACACCGUAACAUAACGAAGUGGCAUCACUUUGUUAUUAUAGCUCCGGCGGUUUUGGAUGGGCGUGCGCCUGAUUAGGUGGUUGGCGGGGUAACGGCCCACCAAGCCUACGAUCAGUAACUGGUGUGAGAGCACGACCAGUCACACGGGCACUGAGACACGGGCCCGACUCCUACGGGAGGCAGCAGUAAGGAAUAUUGGUCAAUGGACGCAAGUCUGAACCAGCCAUGCCGCGUGAAGGAUGAAGGUCCUCUGGAUUGUAAACUUCUUUUAUCUGGGACGAAAAAAGGGCUUUCUAGCUCACUUGACGGUACCAGAGGAAUAAGCACCGGCUAACUCCAUGCCAGCAGCCGCGGUAAUACGGAGGGUGCGAGCGUUAUCCGGAUUUACUGGGUUUAAAGGGUGCGUAGGUGGGCAGGUAAGUCAGUGGUGAAAUCUUCGAGCUUAACUCGGAAACUGCCAUUGAUACUAUCUGUCUUGAAUGCCCUGGAGGUAAGCGGAAUAUGUCAUGUAGCGGUGAAUGCUUAGAUAUGACAUAGAACACCAAUUGCGAAGGCAGCUUACUACGGGGUGAUUGACACUGAGGCACGAAAGCGUGGGGAUCAAACAGGAUUAGAUACCCUGGUAGUCCACGCCCUAAACGAUGGAUACUCGACAUACGCGAUACACUGUGUGUGUCUGAGCGAAAGCAUUAAGUAUCCCACCUGGGAAGUACGACCGCAAGGUUGAAACUCAAAGGAAUUUGACGGGGGGUCCGCACAAGCGGUGGAGCAUGUGGUUUAAUUUCGAUGAUACGCGAGGAACCUUACCUGGGCUAGAAUGGCGGUUUGAC
This 946-nucleotide ribosomal RNA is filed under the name uncultured Flavobacteriia bacterium. RNAcentral describes it as "bacterial SSU rRNA". It matches the Rfam family "Bacterial small subunit ribosomal RNA", at positions 57 to 997 of the family's 1533-position model. Lineage: Bacteria; Pseudomonadati; Bacteroidota; Flavobacteriia. The record is from RNAcentral.